This 734-nucleotide long non-coding RNA is filed under the name Cicer arietinum (chickpea). Its description in RNAcentral is "long non-coding RNA (CARI_LNC003781)". Lineage: Eukaryota; Viridiplantae; Streptophyta; Magnoliopsida; Fabales; Fabaceae. The record is from RNAcentral.
CUCGAACUCCUCAAUAUAAAUAAGUAAAAAAAAUAUUUGAAUCACUUUUUUUUUCUCACUCAUAUUAGAAGUGAAUAUAAAAUAUAACCAAUAUAAAAAUAAUUUUUAUAAAAAAUUACCCUUACACAAAAAAUAACUUAUUUCUAUUGCUCUCUAAACAUGAAGAAGAAAAAAAGAACAAAACAAAAUUAUCCAAAUCUUAUAAAAUGUAACCAUAUUAAUUACUUGUGACGUGGAAUGCUGCGAGCCAGCAUGCAAUUGUUGUAAUUUCAAAAGAUAAAUUAUAUCCCAACAUUGCAUUUUGGAUUUAAUUUAUCAAAGUCGUAAUAUAGGUCAUUUGAUUUUAGUCCGACAAUACUCCAAGUCACCUGACUACACAAAUGUAUGAUUCCUUCGUAUACAGACAAUGAGCCUAAAGAGUAUUUUGCCCUUUGCACCCAAAUCAACCAUAUAUAAUCAAGUUUAAAUAACUUUCCCUCUUGGAACCCUAAUUUUAUAAAUAUGUUCUUCACCAGUGUAUUUAUCAACCUUAACAACCCAACGACCUCUACUCUUGUUCAUUCCACAUCCACAUUUAGGACUAACCCAAUUUUCUCUAAAUCUUGUCACCAAUAACCCUUCUCCAAUAGGAAGCAAUUUAGUUUUUGAUCCACAUGACCUCCAAAUUGACCACCCUUUACAACUAAAUGCAUUAUAACCAACAACAACUAUACCCUUUUGCAUAUUCCCACCAA